This is a non-coding RNA of Macaca mulatta (Rhesus monkey), 1137 nucleotides long. The record is from RefSeq and is a predicted model, not a curated record. NCBI's taxonomy places the organism in Eukaryota, Metazoa, Chordata, Mammalia, Primates, Cercopithecidae.
GGGAUUCAAACCGCCAGGCGAAGCGGCCUAGCAGGGACUCUGACCUAGUGAGUGUCAGUUUCCCGCUUUUCUUUCUUUCCACCCAAUAAAACCGUGUCUUACUCAUCAUUCAAAUUGUCUGCGAGCCUGAAAUUUUGUGGCCGUGGGACAAAGAACUCCGUCUUUAGCUGAACUAAGGAAAAGCCCUGCAACAAUUUUGGCGCGCAACGUGGGGACUUGAGAAGCGCUUACCAUGUGUAGAGCAGAAGUAGGGAGAGGAUCAAAAAGUCCCUCAACUACCGCCUUCCAUGUGAACCAAGAGGACAUUGAUAGAAUGAAGAAGAUCAAGACAGAACAACAGCCCACCCAGUAACAACACAGAGCCAGGGGAACAUCCACCACGCAGGGAAGUGGUUGAACUCUUUUGUGUCAACUAAAAGAACAUGUGGACAUAGCAGGGCUGUCAAGAUAAGGCCACGAGCUUGCCAAGUUGGGGACCUUUGAAAUACAACGAUAGAGUUUAGCUGUGUUUCCCAAGCUGGCCUUGAACUCCUGAGCUCAAGCAAUCCACGCAUCUCGGCUUCCCAAAGUGUGAGCAUUACAGACAUGAGCUACCACAUCUGUCCUCUUAUUACAAUUUAGAGAAAUUAAAGCCUGGAUUUCAAAGGAGGUGACUACAAGACAAUCUAUUGCAAGGUAAGAUUAAAUGUGGAAUAAAAAUUAGGAAGUUAAAUAUGUGUAGUUUAUGAUAUCUGUAAGUCUGUAUUGAUUUGCUUGUUCCCUAAAUGUAGAUAGAAUACCAGAUUUAACAAGAAAGAAAAUUGCAAACAACUAACAUUUCUUGAUCUCCAAAUCUGAGCACUUCCACAAAUACUAUCUAACAAUCUCCCUCAUUACCUUUAUGAGGCAGACAAUUGUCCAUGUCAGAGACAUUCAAACUGAGGUUCAAAAAGGUAAUUUCCUUGGCCAGUAUCAUGUAUUAUGGGCUUACUUAGGAUGGGGGCAUUCAUCUAAAAAUUAGGAAAAGAUAGGAGAAGAACAUUUUUACUUCAGUUUUAAACAUCUGCUGACCAAAUUUGUUUCUGGUUUUCUGUUUUUGAGGACUUAUUUCUACCAUGCACAAUACAUACUGUGGUCCUGCAAGAACUAACAGUGAGU